RNAcentral lists this transfer RNA (73 nucleotides) under Paracoccaceae bacterium. RNAcentral describes it as "Rhodobacteraceae bacterium (activated sludge metagenome) tRNA-Ile". It matches the Rfam family "tRNA". Rfam says of the family: Transfer RNA (tRNA) molecules are approximately 80 nucleotides in length. Their secondary structure includes four short double-helical elements and three loops (D, anti-codon, and T loops). Further hydrogen bonds mediate the characteristic L-shaped molecular structure. tRNAs have two regions of fundamental functional importance: the anti-codon, which is responsible for specific mRNA codon recognition, and the 3' end, to which the tRNAs corresponding amino acid is attached (by aminoacyl-tRNA synthetases). tRNAs cope with the degeneracy of the genetic code in two manners: having more than one tRNA (with a specific anti-codon) for a particular amino acid; and 'wobble' base-pairing, i.e. permitting non-standard base-pairing at the 3rd anti-codon position. Lineage: Bacteria; Pseudomonadati; Pseudomonadota; Alphaproteobacteria; Rhodobacterales; Paracoccaceae. The record is from RNAcentral.
GGGCCCGUAGCUCAAUGGUCAGAGCAGGGCACUCAUAAUGCCUGGGUUGCGGGUUCGAUCCCCGCCGGCCCCA